RNAcentral lists this ribosomal RNA (465 nucleotides) under uncultured bacterium. RNAcentral describes it as "partial 16S ribosomal RNA". It matches the Rfam family "Bacterial small subunit ribosomal RNA", at positions 28 to 507 of the family's 1533-position model. The record is from RNAcentral.
GACGAACGCUGGCGGCGUGCUUAACACAUGCAAGUCGAACGGAAAGGCCCCUUUUGGGGUACUCGAGUGGCGAACGGGUGAGUAACACGUGAGUAACCUACCCUUGACUUCGGGAUAACUUCAGGAAACUGGGGCUAAUACCGGAUAGGAAUCCUUGCUGCAUGGUGGGGGUUGGAAAGCUUCGGCGGUUUUGGAUGGACUCGCGGCUUAUCAGCUUGUUGGUGGGGUAGUGGCUUACCAAGGCUUUGACGGGUAGCCGGCCUGAGAGGGCGACCGGCCACAUUGUGACUGAGAAACGGCCCAGACUCCUACGGGAGGCAGCAGUGGGGAAUAUUGCACAAGGGGCGGAAGCCUGAUGCAGCAACGCCGCGUGCGGGAUGACGGCCUUCGGGUUGUAAAACGCUUUCAGCAGGGGCGAAGCUUGUGGUGACGGUACCUGCAGAAGAAGCACCGGCUAACUACGUG